This 253-nucleotide ribosomal RNA is filed under the name uncultured bacterium. Its description in RNAcentral is "partial 16S ribosomal RNA". It matches the Rfam family "Bacterial small subunit ribosomal RNA", at positions 524 to 776 of the family's 1533-position model. The record is from RNAcentral.
UACGUAGGGUGCGAGCGUUGUCCGGAAUUAUUGGGCGUAAAGGGCUCGUAGGCGGUUUGUCGCGUCGGGAGUGAAAAUCCAGGGCUUAACUCUGGACUGGCUUCCGAUACGGGCAGACUAGAGGUAUGCAGGGGAGAACGGAAUUCCUGGUGUAGCGGUGAAAUGCGCAGAUAUCAGGAGGAACACCGGUGGCGAAGGCGGUUCUCUGGGCCGAUACUGACGCUGAGGAGCGAAAGCGUGGGGAGCAAACAGG